GCUACAAGUACAGCGGGCUGGUACAGCUCGACAUCGGCGAAAGCGAGUUUUGUGGCGAUCUGGACUUUGAAGCAGGGACAUUAAAGGCGCUCGGUCUGCUCCGUCCUGAAGCCGGGGCGUCCGGGCCAGGCUGGCGGCCAACCCAGCUCGACCGGCCGUGCCUUCCUUUCUUCGGGCGAACGUUCGAUCGCUGGGCAUCAACAUGCCUGCUGAGAUCUAUGAAACGGACAGUGCGUAACUGCUGUGCAUCUGGAGCGGCUAGCGUGCUAUCGGGCGGACCGGGCCAUUGUACGAGGGGGAACAUCGCGAGGAGGUGGAAUGCGUGUCUACAUCCGUGACGAAUGGUGCCGGGACUCUGUGGUGGGAUGCAAGCACUGCUCGCCUCUGGCGAAGUUUGUGAUCUUCAGGCUUUUGGCGUCCUGAACUCUCUCCCCCGUUGUUUACUUGUAUGUUACUCGUGUACUGUGUCUCGUCACCGUGGGAUGGAGGAAACGUAAUUUCGAUUUCUUUGUGUGUCUUGGCAUGAAGGAAUUGACAAUAAAGCUGACUCUGA
Long non-coding RNA from Syngnathus typhle (broad-nosed pipefish), 553 nucleotides. RefSeq lists it as uncharacterized. The record is from RefSeq and is a predicted model, not a curated record. NCBI's taxonomy places the organism in Eukaryota, Metazoa, Chordata, Actinopteri, Syngnathiformes, Syngnathidae. The transcript is spliced from 2 exons.